RNAcentral lists this transfer RNA (41 nucleotides) under Kinyongia adolfifriderici. RNAcentral's name for it is "tRNA-Tyr". The record is from RNAcentral. Lineage: Eukaryota; Metazoa; Chordata; Lepidosauria; Squamata; Chamaeleonidae.
AUAGAUUUACAAUCUAUCGCCUUAUACUCGGCCACCAAACC